This 73-nucleotide transfer RNA is filed under the name Candidatus Rehaiarchaeum fermentans. RNAcentral's name for it is "tRNA-Glu". It matches the Rfam family "tRNA". Rfam says of the family: Transfer RNA (tRNA) molecules are approximately 80 nucleotides in length. Lineage: Archaea; Nanobdellati; Candidatus Parvarchaeota. The record is from RNAcentral.
GCCCUCGUAGUCUAGCGGUCAAGGAUUCCGGCCUCUCGAGUCGGAGACUCGGGUUCAAAUCCCGACGGGGGCA